GAUGAAGAACGCAGCGAAAUGCGAUAAGUAAUGUGAAUUGCAGAAUUCAGUGAAUCAUCGAAUCUUUGAACGCACCUUGCGCUCCUUGGUAUUCCGAGGAGCAUGCCUGUUUGAGUGUCAUGUAAUUCUCAACCUUUUCAGCUUUCUUUGUUGAUCAGGCUUGGAUGUGGGAGUAUGCGGGCUUCUCAGAAGUCGGCUCUCCUGAAAUGCAUUAGCGGGACCUUUGUUGACUGGCUUUGGUGUGAUAAUUAUCUACGCCAUUGUGGUCAAGCAGCUUAAAAUGAGGUUUCAGCUUCUAACCGUCUCCCCUGAGACAACUUUUUGACAAUUUGACCUCAAAUCAGGUAGGACUACCCGCUGAACUUAAGCAUAUCAAUAAGCGGAGGA
Molecule: unclassified non-coding RNA, 387 nt
Filed under: soil metagenome
Description: partial contains 5.8S ribosomal RNA, internal transcribed spacer 2, and large subunit ribosomal RNA
Rfam family: 5.8S ribosomal RNA (bases 1-120)
Source: RNAcentral